AGGAGGACACUGACAAAGACGGGAUGAGUUUGGAGGUCGACACUCCAGUGACGAACCAUCGGGGUGACGACGACGAUGACGAAGAAGAUCUCCCCGAGAUAGUGCUGGAUGACGUGCCUGCGGUGAGGGUGGCGGACGGCCUCCAUUCGCUCCGCGGGUGGCCUUCAUGGUGAACAAAACACAUGACCCCGAGUACCCGAGGCGGAAGGUGUCCGGCAUCAGUGCUCAGAAAGUUGUUCCAC
This is a non-coding RNA of Sus scrofa (pig), 242 nucleotides long. The record is from RefSeq and is a predicted model, not a curated record. Lineage: Eukaryota; Metazoa; Chordata; Mammalia; Artiodactyla; Suidae.